Long non-coding RNA from Aethalodelphis obliquidens (Pacific white-sided dolphin), 1452 nucleotides. RefSeq lists it as uncharacterized. Lineage: Eukaryota; Metazoa; Chordata; Mammalia; Artiodactyla; Delphinidae. The record is from RefSeq and is a predicted model, not a curated record. The transcript has 7 exons.
AAGGAUUGGGCCAAGCUUUUCUGGAGCUAAGGGAAGACUGCGGAUUUGAGGCCCUGGAGAUAUAAAGAUAAACAGAACAAAAUAAAACAAAAAAACCCUGGUUCUUGGCUGGCACACAGUUCAAUGGAGGAGUAGACAUAAGAAGAAACAAAUAUGGCACAGUGAUGAAGAAAAUGGAGUUUGUACUGGUUAAGAAGUCUGUCUCAGGUUACUCAGCUGUAUGAAAUAACAUAAUAACAUAUAUGCUUUUACAAGAAUAAUCUUCUGGCCAAAGGUGAGGGGAUGUAGCAAUUCAUGAAUUCAGAAGGAGUGAGAAUCACUUCAAACUAUAGAGUCAAGCAAGGUUUUAUGGAAGAAGAGUCAGGAUGUUGAGCUGGAUUUCAAAGAGCUCAGCAAAGAAGAGAAGACCAGAAUGGGCAUCAGCUACCUCCUGAAUCACUGCCCAGUUGCCAGCUGCAAGUCCUAGUUCCAAAGAAGCAAAUGUCCACAGCACAAAGCCAGAAGACUCUGAAAGGGUAGUGUUGCCAGAUAAUAGCAGAAGGAGCUGCUAUUCUGAAGUCAGGCACAGUUCACAUUAGCUUCCGGAUUAAUGUCACUGGCACAGAGAGCAAGCUCACUGCCAUCAGGUAAGCACACACACAACUUUUUCUAGUCCUGUAAAAAAGAGUAAGGGGGUUGAUUUUCCUCCUCAACUUCUAUCUUAGAAUUCAUAUUGUCCUCUGUGGAGUUCAUUUAUCUCUCUCAUCUGAAGAUGUAGGAUAUGUCUACUCAGGUGGGUGCUCUGAGCAUCUAGGAGCCAAAUUUGAGGAGAAAGCCAGUCUGCAAAAUAGUUGGUUGUUCAGGAGUAGCCUGUGUACUGCCUCCAUGAAAAAUCCUGUUGGUGCUACUGUGCUGGGGGUUUAAAAGAAUGUGUAGCACAGGGGUGGGGUGUUAGGAUACAUUUUUCUUGUACAAAAACUCAAAUGUAUAGUUCAGAAAGAAAGAAAAUAGUCUGGUUCAUUUUGCCACACAAAUGGCAUCUAGACAAAAUUUGGAUCAAUUGGAUUCCAAAUCCUAUUAAGAUAUGAUGGUAAUUGAGAUUCUAUAGCUUUUACAAAGCUGAUUAGGCGAUUUUCACAAUGUAUAAGAAUCUCUGCAGAAUUUCCACUACUGUUUCCACUCCUUUCCAGACUAAGAAAGGAGGAGGAAAGAGGAGAGUGAUGGUUGGGGCAAUCAUUUAAUGCCCUGGAAGACAUUUAAUUGCCUUACAGGUUUUAUUUCUUUCGGCAAACUGGUCUUUGAUUUUUCUGAGCUCACUAUGGAAAACUUUGCUGGUCAUCAAAUUUCUGUUUUUUCUUAUUCUUUGCUCAGUUGUUUUUGUUUGUGUGUGUUUUUAAAGAUUGUUUUAUAAUCUACUUUAAAUCUUAUUUUUAAGUUUCAUUAUGGGAACAAGAGCCAAUUUGCUAAAUUCUU